GGCAACAUGGCCGAGUGGUCCAAGGCGCUGGAAUUAGGAAACUACGCCGUCGAAACGUGAGUUUUGGCGUCUCUCCAUCCAGUCCGUAACAGGGCGUGGGUUCGAACCCCACUGUUGUCA
Mycena amicta is the source of this 120-nucleotide non-coding RNA. The record is from the annotation of a GenBank genome assembly. Lineage: Eukaryota; Fungi; Basidiomycota; Agaricomycetes; Agaricales; Mycenaceae.